Molecule: ribosomal RNA, 291 nt
Filed under: Triticum aestivum (bread wheat)
Lineage: Eukaryota; Viridiplantae; Streptophyta; Magnoliopsida; Poales; Poaceae
Description: partial small subunit ribosomal RNA
Source: RNAcentral
AUGGUCUUGAUCAGAUUUCAAAUGCAGUUUGGGGGUGUUAAGUCAUUUGUUUUGGCAGUAAAAUCAUCGCCUCAGUUGGAGGAGGAAUUCUAUAAGUGUGCAUCUGAGUGUGGGUUGUCCACAGAAAAAGGUCUACGGCUGGAUGUCCAAACAAGGUGGAAUUCUACAUACCACAUGUUGAGUGAUGCCCUAUAUUAUAAGAAGGCCUUUGAUAGGUUGCAUGAGAUUGGCAAAAAGAAGUUUGGCAAGUUUGCUCCAACAGCUGAUGAUUGGGACAAGGCUCUUACCCUU